Molecule: long non-coding RNA, 3496 nt
Organism: Lemur catta (Ring-tailed lemur)
Lineage: Eukaryota; Metazoa; Chordata; Mammalia; Primates; Lemuridae
Exons: 3
Source: RefSeq, a predicted model, not a curated record
UCCUAUUUCCUUUCUUUUACAACUUUUUGUUUGCCCCAAAGUUAAUAGUUGCCUUACAUUUGGAUUCACUUAGUUUCAUUUGUGCCUGUGCUCAGUCUCCCCACACCCCCUAACAGCCUCCCAUUCCACGUGGCUCAACCUGUCUGAUCUCAGUCUGUCCGUCCAUGUUUCCAGGAGGGUCUUUCCUGAGCCCUGGCUCCCUGUCCCCUUAGCUGCUGCCUCGGUUUGUCCUUGGACUUCCCUUCACCAUCGCCCUGGAAAUUCCCAGUGCUCACUGCCGAGGCCCUCAUUCCUGGAAUUUCCUGUCUUCCUUGUUCUUGGUUAUUCCUGGUCAUUCCCUCAUUCCGAGGGACCACAUCUCCCAGCAGCUUCCUGAGAAAAUGCGCGGAGCUAAUUGAGCGGGGAGUGCUGCAGUCAGAGAGACGAGAUGAAACAUCAGCUUUCUGACCGCUGAGGCCGUUUGCAGAAGGAGGCUUCUUGUCUGCCGGCCAAGGGCGCGUCCUCCCACCGCCCCGAGAAUUAACCCUCCCACUCAGCCAGGCCGGAACAUGGCAGCCCCUCCAGGUGGGCGACAGCCGGCGGGACACCUGCUCUCCAAAGGCGGGCAGAGCCCAAAGAACAGAGGGGACGGGUGGAGGGUGGAGCCGCUUUCUUCUCCCCAAACUCCACCAUCAGCUGACUGACUCUUCCCCGACACCUAACACGGGUCAGAUGUCCCCAACACGGAGAGCCGUGAUUUCUGCGACCAGGGAAAAUCAGUCAGUCACACUGUCCCUUGGCCAAGAUGAACUCAGCCGUGGUCCCCGGAGAGCUGGAUCAUGGUCCUCCACCCAAACUCUGCAGCAGACACUCGUAGCAAAGGUCAUCGAUGCAGAGUGGGAAGUGGACGUCCCAAAGCAUCAGGCAUCCAGGGAGAGAUGGAGUCCAGGAAAGCCGGCCCCACUCCGGUUCUGCAUCCCUGACGAGGACGAGGUCUUGCUGAGUAAAUUUGGUUCAAGAAACAGGAGAGUCCGAUGUUGAAAAAUUCUCUUGAGCAAAAGCCAUGGAUUGCUAAAGCAAGUUCUUCUUCUUGAAUUGUGACAAUAAGCCCAGAUGACAAAAGUUCAAAGGCGUGGCAAACACACAGGCAGUGUUGAUUGACCCAGUAGGGAAUCCCUGGGUGUCUGCAGUUGGUCCCUGGGAAGGGAAGCUACACUGGAUAUGUUUCAUCUGCUCCCUCCUGGGUGCGGGGCAGGCACACCCCACUUCCCAUAAAGUUUCUGUGCCCUUCAUUAAACAGAGAGCCUAACCUGACCUUAGUGAGGGGAUGUACGUGGUCUCUUCCUACCAGACGUUAAUCCAGCUGAAGUACCGCAGUUGGUAUCAAACGGAGACAGGCACCACUACGUGCAGAAACUCAGCGAACUAAAAGAAGCAGCAGUGAACUAACUAGAACUGUGGUGCAGACAGACUGGCCCGUAGCACGUGGCUGGGGGGGAUCAGAGCAGUGACACCAGGGGAUCUGCCCACAGUCUCCCUCUGUGGGACACUCACGCUCGGUGAUUAAGUAGAGAGCUGCGCUGAAGGCCACGGAGCCCGUGAAAGACGUGGGGACAACUCAGGAGCCCAAAAGGAGGUAGAAAGCUAAGGAACCUCGGGUAUCAUUGCCCCACAAAGAACAGCACAAAACCUGGAGCCUUAUCAAGCCUCUAGAGCUCGCUGCCCUUCUACCAGGAGGAUAGCAUUGGCCAAAUUCAGGAUGUGGGGAAUUUCUACAGGGCAGACACCCCAGGUUCAACAAAUAAUGUCACGGGGAAAGAGGGGGAGGGGACUGUUACAGAUGAAAAGAGACAGAACAGUCACCAGCAACUCGUGGAUCUUGUUUGGACCCCAAUCUGAACAAAUCAACGGUAAAAACCCAUUAUUGAGAAACUGGGGGAAAUUUGAACAUGUGGGUCUGAAGAGAUUGUGGUGGCUUGUAUUGUGUCAUCAUGGCGAAGCUGGGGCUAGAUUUCCCCAGAUCCCUGUCUCUGUGCAGUUUGGGGGGAGAGGAAUUCUCGCGAGAUGUGGGGGCUGAGUAAAGCGCCAGCCAAGACUCUCGAAGGUUGUUAUGAUUCGAUGCAGGACACACACGCAGGUGUCCGUGAAUUCCAGCGUGUCCUCCCUCGCCCCGUCCCCAUCCAGCCCUGCUCCCUGACCACCAACUGCUAACCAGCAGCAGCCCUGAGCCAACCUCCAGAUGCUUGGCUGUGGGCCACGCCGACCCAAGCAGCUACUAUUAAAGGAUCCUUGCUUGUUGCAUUAGGUUCAUAAUGGUGUUGCAUCUAUGUGAGGAAAAACAAGUCCUCGUCUGCUGUAGGUACAUACUGAAGUAUUUAUGGGUAAAAUUAUGUCGUGUCUAGGGUUUGCUUAAAAAUACAUCCAAAAAAAAGGUUGGAGUGUGGAGAAUAAAUGCAACAACAUUGAAAAGUGGUAAUGAUCGUUAAAGUUGGACGACGGGCUCAUUGUUCUAUUUGCUUCGUGCUUCCGGUAUGUUUGGAAAAAUGUUCCUGAUAAAAUAUGAGGGGUGGAGAGAGCUAAGGAAACAGAACAGAGCUGAAGACCCCUCUCCCCGCCCCCGCCAGUCCCAGACUAGCGCUAGGCAAAGUCACAAGCAAAAUUGCAUAACUGGAAAAUUCUUCAAUUCUUCUUGAGGAUGUGGGUUAAGAGAGGGAGGAAAAACUAAGUGUGCAAGAGGCUGAUUAAUAGACACACAUCGCAGGAGAAAAAAGAAAAGCAAUGAAGUCUUGCUAUUACUUUUAACUGGAGUAAUACGCUUGAACAUGUGUGAGCUGGUCUUGUUCUUACAAACAAGGCUAAAAACAAAAUCUGUGACCUUGGACUUCUGAGAUUUGUCCCGGCUAUUGGAUUCUUUUAACUGGUAUUCAGAGGACAGGGUUUCAGACCUGAGUAUGUGCUUUUCAAAAGAUACCUUCUAAAUUGAAACUUUAAAUAUUAGUUGAGAUGUAAAACUUCCUUUUAGGAAGAAUGUGAAAAUCUGCGUGAGCUCAGGCAUUGUUUCGGUGAGGAGAGAAGGUGGCAGUGCGGGACCUGGGCCAACCCAAACAGGAGGGCGGAGGGAGGCAACAGGCCCACAGUUCUGUUCACAAAUGUUCUUCUCCAAGGCCAAACUUUUUGGAAAGGGGUUUAUUUUAUUUCAUUCUGCCCCAGCUCUAUGUGUGGGUCAUUUUAGGAUCUCAGCUGGUGGCCACAGCUUUUGAGGCUUCUAAGUCAAAUCCCUUCUUUUUUGUUCUUGUUUUUUUUAAAGGGGGUAAGAGGUUUUUUAAAGUAGAGAGAUGUUAUAUGGAUGAUAUUAAACAGAAGAAAAUAUGUUGUACUGGAAAAAGCAAGUUAUCCGUGUUCAUAAAAAUGUGUAACGUUGGUAAAUCAGAAACAAUGUUAACCUGACAGAGAAACAAACUCUAGAGGAAAACACUGCAUAGUGUUUCAAAAGCAAAAGCUUUUGUUAAAAUAGUAU